Molecule: non-coding RNA, 212 nt
Filed under: Acinetobacter baylyi ADP1
Lineage: Bacteria; Pseudomonadati; Pseudomonadota; Gammaproteobacteria; Moraxellales; Moraxellaceae
Description: Acinetobacter sp. ADP1 Acinetobacter sRNA 11
Rfam family: Acinetobacter sRNA 11
About the family: AbsR25 sRNA could play a role in the efflux pump regulation and drug resistance.
Source: Rfam by way of RNAcentral
UAAAGCCACUUUAUAUAUAGCUUAGUUUGUCGAUAUCAGGCAUAAUGCCCUACAACGUAGCGGUGUCUCAUGAUUGAGAAAUAUUGUCUUUCUAUAUUCAAUAGAAAAGAUUCUUCUCCAUCAUGCGACACUUUUAUCGCUAUCCCGAAUUUUAUGAGGGAAUGGGACUCUUCACCGAGGUUGUAAAAUGAGACAAACGAUUUUAGCUGUAU